AAAACAAAAGCUCUGAAUAAUGAAUAGCAUAACAGGAUAGCCUUGCACGAAUCCUAAGGCUGCUAUUUAAAAAGAGUCACUCAAAGUCACUGGGCCCUAUUACAAUACUCUGGCCCAAAACGAAAUAAACACUGAACAACAUAAAAUAAAAUUGCGAAAUUUCCUAAUUAACUAAGGUAAGCGCUGCUUAAUUUGUCCUCUUCAAGUCCAUAACCAAAAUCCGGAUUAAGCCCAAUGUUUCAUUAAUUCCUGAAAUUAGAUUAAAAACAUCAAAUUAGCUAAAUGAGCCCAAAUAAUAAAACUGCCUGAUUAAUUGACAAUUAAGACCAAUCAGUAAUUAAAAUGGUGCAAAAAGGGUUUAGAAAAUAGAAGAAAAUGAUGGCACAUCAGCGCCCUCUAUAAUACUCGCUAAGCUCUUCACUUAAACUCUUGCAAGAGUCAUGACUACUAAAGGAGGCAUGUUUUUCUUUUUUCAUUUCUUUCAUUAUUUUUCUUCUUUCUUCCUCUCUUAUUUUCUCUCUUUCAUCUUGACUGAUUUCUUCCACUCUUUUUUUACCUUUUUCUUUUCUCUCUUGUUUUUCUUUCCAGAACUUAAGGGAUCUCAACUCAUCUAAUAUCUUAUACAAGGGGUCCUUACGAGUAGAACCCUCACCAAUAACACUAGAUGAAGAAUGAAGACUCAUGUUGGUUCCUAAGUUAUGGUUCUUUCUUGUUGGGGGUUUGAAAACAAAAGGUAAAAGAAACUAUGGUUGAAACUAGCCAAAAUAAAUAGUAAAAGAGGUGUGAAAGAUAAGGUAAAAACUAAUUGGUAAAAGGCAAGCUAUCUAGGCGGUUAGACAAUGGAGGGUAAAGGAAAUAAGCUAUGAAAGUAAGCAAGAAAUGCAAACUAUGCGGAUGCUAAGAGUGUUUGGAUGACCUCAUUUAAGGUUCCCAACAAAACACUCACUAUCCUAAGGGAAAUUGCCUAAAAUUAUUACACACAAAUGGAAGUAGGGUGACCUAGCGGAGGCUCCCAACUUACUUCCAAUGAAAGGCCUUUUUGUACAAAAUUUGAAAGCAAAGCAAAUUGCCAAUUACAAAAUUACAAAGAAAAAAAGUCCUCAAUUGUGGUGGCUAUUCUCUCUUUAGUGUUUCACUCAAUUUGGAGUGCUUCUUAGUCCAAUAGCUCUUAAGGUGGUUGGCCCCUUGCUUCUUGACUCAAAAUUUUCAAGAUAUGGCACUAAUCCUCCUUUCCAAUUCUCUAUAUGGCAACUCACAAGCAAGGAAACAAAGAGACAAGCAAUAACCAAAGACAAAAAAAAAAUUAAAUGAAAGCUAAACCAAUAGAGUUUUAACAAGACAAAUUUUUAAGGAUUAUUCAACAAUUAAAGCAAUGAAAAGCACAAAAAAGCAAGCUAGGACUCAAAGAGAAACCUAGAAUGGCUCUAGAGUAGAGUAGAAAAACUAAAAAAAAAGACUCAAAGACUCAAGAAACCUCUAGUUUUGGCACUUGUUUUCACAAUAAUUUCAAUUGAAAUUUCAGAACUAGGAUUGGUAUAAAAUAGGCACCAAUUAUAGAACAAAUUUUGAGCCAAAACAACAAGCACACUUCCCUUUCACUUUUUUUUUCCUGGACACUGAUUUUUCUGCCAACUUGUGUGAUUUUUCUUAUUUUUUCCUUUAAUCUAAAUCGCUUGGUUCUCUUUUUAUAAUUUUUUUCCAGAUGUCUAGAAAAUUCAGUAAAAAUUUCAGCUCAAAAGACGUAGUGAAUAAUUCCCAGUAAUUUAUACAAUUUCGUAUGUUCAAGCUGCCAGCACCAGCGAUUUCAACCUAGAAAUCUGGAGUAGUGUUUAUGUUGCUUAAGGCUUGGAUAGUUACAAUUUGUGAUUUCUUGUGCUCAAUUAUCUUGAAUAACACAAUUCAAGAGAGCUUAAGACUUAUUUGAUUCACAAAUCCAGCCACAACUCAGCACCACAACUCAACUUCAUCAUAGGCAUCAUGUAGGAAACUUGGAAAACAAAAAAAAAGAGUUCAACAACAAGUCUACUUCUAGGAAUUGAUUUAGAACAUGUUAUGAACUAAAUAACAUGCAUGAAUUAGACUCAAAAUUCAAAAGAUAGGCUAAGAAUGACAAGAGUACAUAAACAAAUGUAUCUAGAAUUCAAUCAACAAAAUAAAAAUUCAACACAAACUUAGAACAUAAUGUGACAAUUACUAUGACUAAACAUGACUCUAAGACAACAUGGAUUAAGUGAUUUACACUUAGAUUUUUGUGUUUUUUUUUUCUAAUCAAAAUUUUGGAAGAAAAUUUAGAUCUAAGGUUAAACACAAGAAUAUUAUGAAUGAAAAAAUGAUAAAACCUAAAAUCAACAUAAAAACAUGAUUCAAGAGUAGAUCUACAAAAUUUGAACCAUAGAAAUACAAGAACAAGUGUAGAUCUAAGAUUUAAUCGACUUAUUUUUUUUUAAUCUACUCUAAACAGCACCAAACCACAAGACAAUGGAGGAUAUACAUGGAGAAUAAGAUGAAGAACAUGGAAUUAAAGAUAAUUCACUGAACAAAAAGAUAGAGGAAGCAAAAGAGCAUCACCUAGAUGAAGAUGCUCUUGAUACCACAUGAUGUAAGCUCCAUUGGAGCUUGUAGGCCUAGUGUCGCAACCUACCCUUCGGCGGGAGGGCGACGCGUGACUCGCGGGAUGCGUGUUCCACGAAAGGAAUACGCGCGGAGUCGCCACCAACGUUUAUUUGAGGAAAACGUCGGAAAAACCGGAAAAGACGCGAUCUACGAACUUUUAAGUGAAAGGUUCGGGAGUUGUAUUUACGCGCGGGGAAGGUAUUAGCACCCCACACGUCCGUCACAAGGGAUGACAGCCUUUAAUCGAAUGUGCAAACAUGACUUUGAUUUUUACGUUCCCUUUUAUGUCCUUAUAUCCUUUAUACCCUUUUUUUUUUUUCUCUUUUUGUGGUCGACAAGGGUGUUUCCCUUUGCUCCUACGUAUUCCUCAAUUGGGAUGAGAAAAUCAGACCUACGUAGUUCUUUCGGAACAAAGUGUUUGGUUUAAGUUUGUUUUUUGUCUUUUUUGCAAAAUAUGUUUUUUAUUUGAACAAAAGGUCAUUUAAGGUGUUGGACCAUUAAACGGUCUUUUGAUUUUGAAAGGAGAGAAACGUUAAGGCAUUGGACCAUUAACGAUCUCUUGUUUUUGAAAGGAGAGAAACGUUAAGGCAUUGGACCAUUAACGACCUCUUGUUUUUGAAAGGAGAGAAACGUUAAGGCAUUGGACCAUUAACGAUCUCUUGGGGUGGUCGACAAAAGCGGGGCUUUUGCUCCUACGUAUCCUCAAUUGCGAUGAGGAAAUCAGACCUACGUAGUUCUUGCAAAAGCGGUAAAGUCACAUGUUGAUUUUAUGCUUUUGAACGGUCCAUGUUAACCGAUAAAAGCAAAGAGGACCGUUUAAGGCGCUGGACCUUAAAACGGUUUUUAGUGAUUUUUUGGAAAAAAACUUGAUUUGUGAGUUGAUUUUAGUCUUAGUUUCACUUUGGUUUAUUAAUCAAUUCAUUCAAGGAAACUUCCAAAGAAAAACGUCCGAUUGAUUUUUUUUAUUAUUUUAUUCAAAGAUAUUUUGAUUAUUUUAUUAUUAUUUUUCAAGAUAUUUUGAUUAUUUUAUUAUUAUUUUACUUUUUUUGGUUUAACCGAGGUUAUAGCGUGAACGAUCGGUUAGAUUUCGUUUUAACAGUGAUUAAACGAGAUUACAACACAAAUGAUCGGUUGAAAUUCAUUUUAUCAUUUAUUAGACGAGAAAACGGCUUAAAUAAAUGGUUAAAGCACGUUAAAAACUGAAGAAAAGAAAACUGAAAGUAAACGAAAUUAAAGUGAAAGUACACAAAACAAGAAAUGAAUUGAAAGUCUCGGAUUCGAAAACUUACCCGUUGAAGAACGAAGAACGAACGAAGAACGGAUGAAGAACGGUGAAGAACGACGAAGAACGAUGAAGAAUUUCCACAGAAUCGCUUACGGAAGCAUUACGGAAGUACUUCGACUUGAUUUUUCUUCACGAAAACGUGUUUUUUGCCCAAAAUAGCCGAAAUGCA
This 4067-nucleotide long non-coding RNA is filed under the name Glycine max (soybean). RNAcentral describes it as "long non-coding RNA (GMAX_LNC001800)". The record is from RNAcentral. Lineage: Eukaryota; Viridiplantae; Streptophyta; Magnoliopsida; Fabales; Fabaceae.